UAAGCGCGGCGGUGGCGAUACGGACGAAACACCGAGCGCAUUUCACGCCACCACCGCCACUAUCUCGUUGAACGCGUGUCACCUGGCCGAUUGUGAGCUCUGCAGGCGAAUACACGUGGUGGGUACCUAUAUGUAAUGCGUACGACACGAUAAUAAUCCGUUUUAUCAUUUGCGAAUUGCACCGGUUCCGGUACCGAACGAGACGCCGAGCCGACACUUAUACGCAAUCAAUCACGAACAAACGAAAAAACCCGCCACCGGUGCAACUGCCGGCCGAACGUCUUUUAACACCACCACCGCCGCCACCAUCGACGACGACGACGAGUCACGACGAGCGCACUGUAGUCCGCCGGAAUGUUAUCGACGUUUAUCACAGGGACUGGGUAAACGUUUGAAUAUUGAAAUCAUCAUUUUGAUUUGGAAGGAGUGUCUUGUGAACUUCACAAAUAGUGGUCAGCCGAUCGUCUCAGUGACGUAAUAAUAAUGACUAAUCAAGCAGUUAUAGCGUAUUCUGUAGCUAUCCAUUUCGCUGCAACGAAUCCAUUUGACGACACUUAGGACCCAAUCGACAACAACUACCAGCCAACAGAACAAACAAGGUAUGGACCAACUUCGGAAAUACCUGGAAACAGCAACAACGCAGCCGACGACGCCAGAAGUAUCUCCUAACAUUCAUCUAUACCGUUUAGGUGAGUGAAAUUAUUUUUACCUGUGUGAGUGAUAUAUGGACUUUGAUGAGGACUACAUUAUACUAUAUUACCUACAAUAUUACUAUAUACAUUUUUUUUUUAAUUAGAGUCCAUUAUUCAUUAGCAAUCAGGUAUAUGUGAUUUUAAAAUAUUAAUUUUUACUGUAGAUACAUCACUGUAUCACAAUGUUUCUAUGCAAUAUUUUUAUUUAUUAUUAAACAUUUAGUUCUUUAUUUAUUAUUUAU
This is a long non-coding RNA of Metopolophium dirhodum (rose-grain aphid), 934 nucleotides long. RefSeq lists it as uncharacterized. The record is from RefSeq and is a predicted model, not a curated record. NCBI's taxonomy places the organism in Eukaryota, Metazoa, Arthropoda, Insecta, Hemiptera, Aphididae. The transcript is spliced from 3 exons.